This 550-nucleotide ribosomal RNA is filed under the name uncultured bacterium. Its description in RNAcentral is "bacterial SSU rRNA". It matches the Rfam family "Bacterial small subunit ribosomal RNA", at positions 355 to 896 of the family's 1533-position model. The record is from RNAcentral.
UAGGGAAUCUUCCACAAUGGACGCAAGUCUGAUGGAGCAACGCCGCGUGAGUGAAGAAGGUCUUCGGAUCGUAAAACUCUGUUGUUAGAGAAGAACACGAGUGAGAGUAACUGUUCAUUCGAUGACGGUAUCUAACCAGCAAGUCACGGCUAACUACGUGCCAGCAGCCGCGGUAAUACGUAGGUGGCAAGCGUUGUCCGGAUUUAUUGGGCGUAAAGGGAACGCAGGCGGUCUUUUAAGUCUGAUGUGAAAGCCUUCGGCUUAACCGGAGUAGUGCAUUGGAAACUGUUUAACUUGAGUGCAGAAGGGGAGAGUGGAAUUCCAUGUGUAGCGGUGAAAUGCGUAGAUAUAUGGAGGAACACCGGUGGCGAAAGCGGCUCUCUGGUCUGUAACUGACGCUGAGGCUCGAAAGCGUGGGGAGCGAACAGGAUUAGAUACCCUGGUAGUCCACGCCGUAAACGAUGAGUGCUAGGUGUUAGGUCCUUUCCGGGACUUAGUGCCGCAGCUAACGCAUUAAGCACUCCGCCUGGGGAGUACGACCGCAAGGUUG